This 484-nucleotide ribosomal RNA is filed under the name uncultured bacterium. RNAcentral's name for it is "partial 16S ribosomal RNA". It matches the Rfam family "Bacterial small subunit ribosomal RNA", at positions 30 to 507 of the family's 1533-position model. The record is from RNAcentral.
AUUGAACGCUGGCGGCAGGCCUAACACAUGCAAGUCGAGCGGAUGAAGGGAGCUUGCUCCUGGAUUCAGCGGCGGACGGGUGAGUAAUGCCUAGGAAUCUGCCUGGUAGUGGGGGAUAACGUCCGGAAACGGGCGCUAAUACCGCAUACGUCUUGAGGGAGAAAGUGGGGGAUCUUCGGACCUCACGCUAUCAGAUGAGCCUAGGUCGGAUUAGCUAGUUGGUGGGGUAAAGGCCUACCAAGGCGACGAUCCGUAACUGGUCUGAGAGGAUGAUCAGUCACACUGGAACUGAGACACGGUCCAGACUCCUACGGGAGGCAGCAGUGGGGAAUAUUGGACAAUGGGCGAAAGCCUGAUCCAGCCAUGCCGCGUGUGUGAAGAAGGUCUUCGGAUUGUAAAGCACUUUAAGCUGGGAGGAAGGGCAGUAAGUUAAUACCUUGCUGUUUUGACGUUACCAACAGAAUAAGCACCGGCUAACUUCGUG